Molecule: long non-coding RNA, 613 nt
Filed under: Homo sapiens (human)
Lineage: Eukaryota; Metazoa; Chordata; Mammalia; Primates; Hominidae
Description: HSALNT0393990
Source: RNAcentral
CAGCCAUGAGUGAUGAAAGACAGAUACCAACAAAUGAAAUUAGACUCUCUCUGACUAUCCUCAGAUCAGAAACUCUUGAGAAUGAAGAAUAGUUCUUCUGGUGUGAGGAUCCACUGGGUUGCCACUGACCCAUUGCCUGAGGGUAUGCGAUGAAACCAGAAUCAGCAACUGUAGAUGGCAGCUCAGAAGGGGAAACGACACAUCUAAUAACCAACAGGAAUGGCUAUUAAUUAGCUGAAAUGACAAUAAUUAACAGAAAUGACAAGUCUAAUAAAUUUUCACUUAAGUGUUGUCACAUGGCACUUUGAGUUUUAGCUUUCCAUUUUAAAUAUUAAUCUCGGUGGGGUUUACUUUAGAUGAAGAGUCAUAUCAAGUAUGACUAUGGAAAUAAUUCUGUACAGACACUCCAUCAAAUUAUGUUUAAUCCAUUUCACUUAUGCUAUGAUCAGUAGAGAGUGUAUUAAAAGCUCACAUUGUCACCCUAAAAAUAUAUUCUUUUUGUGUGUAUCUAAUUUAUGCUGCUCAGAAACAUUCAGCCACAGGGAUCAGAGGGAAGGUGGUUGUUUUUAAUUUUCUUUGAUAUCUUCAAAGAUAGGAAAGUCUCACCCCUCUG